GAUAGUGAGGUCACGCGUAUCCUGUGAGCAUGGUGAAGCCGCGAGACGCGAGACUCGUAUCUCGCGUCUUCGCCGCUCCACGCUCUCAGAGUUGGGCAAAGACAAGACACGUUAUUUCUGGUGCGAUACAAGAGGUUCAAUGGUUAUCUCGAUUAUCUAAACACAUUUAUUUAGGUGGUAAAGAUUUGUUUUUAAAUCUAUGAACUGAUGCUAGUCCUAUUUGGAACGAAAUGUAUUUGAAAUAAAAAAGAAUACUAAGUAAAACAAAAGUUGUCUGCAACACGAAGCAUGCCUUCGCAUUAAGACUGAGAAUCCUAAUGUUUAUCAUGAUACUUUAAUGCAUAUGUUCGAAUGUUCCCGAAAAUCUUCUGAUAAUCUGCCCGCACCCACCCCUCACCCCGCCCCUCGCUACUGAACCGUAUUGUUUUCACUCAGCAGCUGGUCAGCGGUCACGUUUAUGAGGUAAACAAACCGAUCGAUUCUUGACCACCGUUCUUGUCGAUCGGAAAAUCAUAAUACCAGUGUGAUAUUGCCGCGAAGAUGAAGCAGUUAUGUUAUUUGAUUCGUACUUCACAUUCGAGUCCAAGCUUGGGUGGCACAGGUUAUUUCUUGCGGUGGAAUCGACGAGGGGAAUUCAGAAAGUUGUAGUGGUUGAAUUGUUGGAAUAAAUGGUCGCAUGGGGAUGAUUUACCUGCUUGAUUUCUAUCGGUUACGCUUCAUGUUGAGAAGUCCCUCAAAAUGGCGGCAAAACUUGGAGAUUGCCGAAAAUUAGGUAAGUUCACGGAGUUAUAAAGUUCUCGUAAAGGUCGGGCCGCAAAUUUUUUUUCUGUGGCUAUCUUUGCUAUGGCACCUACUUGCUAGCUAUGUUAGUUGGAUCAGUUAAGAACGCCUCACUUUUUCAAAACUUCACCAUAAAAUUCAUCGGUUUUGGCGUGUUUGAUUUAGGCGAACCGAUAAGGUGUCAUUCAAGUCUCCGUGUUUCCUUGAUUGACACGUGAUGUUUACGAAAGUCGUCUCGAUAGAUUAGAUAGAGUUAAUACACAUGGCUGUGUUAUUUGUUUUUUGCUGAGUUCCGUAGUUUUUUGUAAAUUGUCCUCCAAAGUUGUAUGAAAUUAAAGUCUUGAAAAGUGUCACGACAA
This is a long non-coding RNA of Pocillopora damicornis (cauliflower coral), 1139 nucleotides long. Lineage: Eukaryota; Metazoa; Cnidaria; Anthozoa; Scleractinia; Pocilloporidae. The record is from RefSeq and is a predicted model, not a curated record.